This is a non-coding RNA of Pelobates cultripes (western spadefoot toad), 85 nucleotides long. The record is from the annotation of a GenBank genome assembly. Lineage: Eukaryota; Metazoa; Chordata; Amphibia; Anura; Pelobatidae.
CGGCAUGCCAGAUGUUUUGGACUACACCCCCCAUGAUGCUUUGCAAGCAUUAAGGGGGAUGUAGUCCACAACAUCUGGAGUUCCG